GUUUCCUUGGUACAGUGGUAGCAUGCUUUCUUAGGGUGACACACACGUCCAAGAUGGAAGAGGUCGUGGGUUCGAUUCCCACAGGAAACC
Molecule: transfer RNA, 90 nt
Filed under: Tilletia horrida
Lineage: Eukaryota; Fungi; Basidiomycota; Exobasidiomycetes; Tilletiales; Tilletiaceae
Description: tRNA-Pro
Rfam family: tRNA
About the family: Transfer RNA (tRNA) molecules are approximately 80 nucleotides in length. Their secondary structure includes four short double-helical elements and three loops (D, anti-codon, and T loops). Further hydrogen bonds mediate the characteristic L-shaped molecular structure. tRNAs have two regions of fundamental functional importance: the anti-codon, which is responsible for specific mRNA codon recognition, and the 3' end, to which the tRNAs corresponding amino acid is attached (by aminoacyl-tRNA synthetases). tRNAs cope with the degeneracy of the genetic code in two manners: having more than one tRNA (with a specific anti-codon) for a particular amino acid; and 'wobble' base-pairing, i.e. permitting non-standard base-pairing at the 3rd anti-codon position.
Source: RNAcentral